RNAcentral lists this ribosomal RNA (1035 nucleotides) under Triticum aestivum (bread wheat). RNAcentral's name for it is "partial small subunit ribosomal RNA". Lineage: Eukaryota; Viridiplantae; Streptophyta; Magnoliopsida; Poales; Poaceae. The record is from RNAcentral.
AUGGCGUCCCGGAUCUUGCUCCCGGCGCUCCUCCUCCUCCUCUGCUCGCAUUGCGGCGAGGCGGCGAGGAAGGCGCGCGGCGGCGAGUCCAGCUCGCAGGUCAAGUUCGACUUCUCGCCCUUCCUCAUCGAGUACAAGAGCGGCGUGGUGAAGCGGCUCAUGGGCACCGACCGCGUCUCCGCGGCCGCGGACCCGCUCACCGGCGUCACCUCCAGGGACGUCACCAUCGACCCCGCCGCCGGCGUCGACGCGCGGAUCUACCUCCCGAGCUUCCGCACCAGCACCAAGGUGCCCGUCCUGGUCUACUUUCACGGCGGCGCGUUCGUCGUCGAGUCGGCGUUCAACCCCAUCUACCACGCCUACCUCAACACCCUGGCGGCCAAGGCCGGCGUGGUGGCCGUGUCGGUGAACUACCGCCUGGCGCCGGAGCACCCGCUGCCGGCCGCCUACGACGACUCGUGGGCGGCGCUCAAGUGGGUGCUCGCCAAUGCGGCGCCCGGGACGGACCAGUGGCUGUCCCAGUACGGUGACCUGUCCCGCCUCUUCCUCGCCGGCGACAGCGCGGGGGGCAACAUCGCGCACAACCUGGCAUUGCGCGCCGGGGAGGAGGGCCUGGACGGCGGCGCGAAGCUCAAGGGUGUGGCCCUCCUGGACCCCUACUUCCAGGGCCGGAGCGCGGUGGGCGCCUACUCCGCGGACCCGUCGUUCCUGCAGUCGGCGGCGCGCACCUGGAGCUUCAUCUGCGCGGGCAAGUACCCCAUCGACCACCCGUACGCGAACCCGCUGAUGCUGCCGACGGCCUCAUGGCAGCACCUCGGCGCCUCCCGCGUGCUGGUCACCGUGUCCGGGCAGGACCGGCUGAGCCCGUGGCAGCGCGCCUACUACAGCACGCUCCGGAGCAGCGGGUGGCCGGGGCAGGCGGAGCUGUACGAGACCCCCGGCGAGGGCCACGUGUACUUCCUCACCAAGAUGAGCACGCCGCAGGCGCAGGCCGAGAUGGCCACCCUCGUCGCCUUCAUCAACCGCGCCGACUAG